RNAcentral lists this ribosomal RNA (2905 nucleotides) under Salmonella enterica subsp. enterica serovar Muenchen. RNAcentral's name for it is "23S ribosomal RNA". It matches the Rfam family "Bacterial large subunit ribosomal RNA". The record is from RNAcentral. Lineage: Bacteria; Pseudomonadati; Pseudomonadota; Gammaproteobacteria; Enterobacterales; Enterobacteriaceae. RNAcentral also lists the same sequence under 1 other name.
GGUUAAGCGACUAAGCGUACACGGUGGAUGCCCUGGCAGUCAGAGGCGAUGAAGGGCGUGCUAAUCUGCGAUAAGCGCCGGUAAGGUGAUAUGAACCGUUAUAACCGGCGAUACCCGAAUGGGGAAACCCAGUGUGACUCGUCACACUAUCAUUAACUGAAUCCAUAGGUUAAUGAGGCGAACCGGGGGAACUGAAACAUCUAAGUACCCCGAGGAAAAGAAAUCAACCGAGAUUCCCCCAGUAGCGGCGAGCGAACGGGGAGGAGCCCAGAGCCUGAAUCAGCAUGUGUGUUAGUGGAAGCGUCUGGAAAGGCGCGCGAUACAGGGUGACAGCCCCGUACACAAAAGCGCAUGUGCUGUGAGCUCGAUGAGUAGGGCGGGACACGUGGUAUCCUGUCUGAAUAUGGGGGGACCAUCCUCCAAGGCUAAAUACUCCUGACUGACCGAUAGUGAACCAGUACCGUGAGGGAAAGGCGAAAAGAACCCCGGCGAGGGGAGUGAAAAAGAACCUGAAACCGUGUACGUACAAGCAGUGGGAGCACCCUUCGGGGUGUGACUGCGUACCUUUUGUAUAAUGGGUCAGCGACUUAUAUUCUGUAGCAAGGUUAACCGAAUAGGGGAGCCGGAGGGAAACCGAGUCUUAAUUGGGCGUUAAGUUGCAGGGUAUAGACCCGAAACCCGGUGAUCUAGCCAUGGGCAGGUUGAAGGUUGGGUAACACUAACUGGAGGACCGAACCGACUAAUGUUGAAAAAUUAGCGGAUGACCUGUGGCUGGGGGUGAAAGGCCAAUCAAACCGGGAGAUAGCUGGUUCUCCCCGAAAGCUAUUUAGGUAGCGCCUCGUGAAUUCAUCUCCGGGGGUAGAGCACUGUUUCGGCUAGGGGGCCAUCCCGGCUUACCAACCCGAUGCAAACUGCGAAUACCGGAGAAUGUUAUCACGGGAGACACACGGCGGGUGCUAACGUCCGUCGUGAAGAGGGAAACAACCCAGACCGCCAGCUAAGGUCCCAAAGUCAUGGUUAAGUGGGAAACGAUGUGGGAAGGCCCAGACAGCCAGGAUGUUGGCUUAGAAGCAGCCAUCAUUUAAAGAAAGCGUAAUAGCUCACUGGUCGAGUCGGCCUGCGCGGAAGAUGUAACGGGGCUAAACCAUGCACCGAAGCUGCGGCAGCGACACUAUGUGUUGUUGGGUAGGGGAGCGUUCUGUAAGCCUGUGAAGGUGUGUCGUGAGGCAUGCUGGAGGUAUCAGAAGUGCGAAUGCUGACAUAAGUAACGAUAAAGCGGGUGAAAAGCCCGCUCGCCGGAAGACCAAGGGUUCCUGUCCAACGUUAAUCGGGGCAGGGUGAGUCGACCCCUAAGGCGAGGCCGAAAGGCGUAGUCGAUGGGAAACGGGUUAAUAUUCCCGUACUUGGUGUUACUGCGAAGGGGGGACGGAGAAGGCUAUGUUGGCCGGGCGACGGUUGUCCCGGUUUAAGCGUGUAGGUGUGUGUUCCAGGUAAAUCCGGUUCACUUUAACACUGAGGCGUGACGACGAGGCACUACGGUGCUGAAGCAACAAAUGCCCUGCUUCCAGGAAAAGCCUCUAAGCAUCAGGUAACAUCAAAUCGUACCCCAAACCGACACAGGUGGUCAGGUAGAGAAUACCAAGGCGCUUGAGAGAACUCGGGUGAAGGAACUAGGCAAAAUGGUGCCGUAACUUCGGGAGAAGGCACGCUGACACGUAGGUGAAGUGAUUUACUCACGGAGCUGAAGUCAGUCGAAGAUACCAGCUGGCUGCAACUGUUUAUUAAAAACACAGCACUGUGCAAACACGAAAGUGGACGUAUACGGUGUGACGCCUGCCCGGUGCCGGAAGGUUAAUUGAUGGGGUCAGCGCAAGCGAAGCUCCUGAUCGAAGCCCCGGUAAACGGCGGCCGUAACUAUAACGGUCCUAAGGUAGCGAAAUUCCUUGUCGGGUAAGUUCCGACCUGCACGAAUGGCGUAAUGAUGGCCAGGCUGUCUCCACCCGAGACUCAGUGAAAUUGAACUCGCUGUGAAGAUGCAGUGUACCCGCGGCAAGACGGAAAGACCCCGUGAACCUUUACUAUAGCUUGACACUGAACAUUGAGCCUUGAUGUGUAGGAUAGGUGGGAGGCUUUGAAGCGUGGACGCCAGUCUGCGUGGAGCCGACCUUGAAAUACCACCCUUUAAUGUUUGAUGUUCUAACGUGGACCCGUAAUCCGGGUUGCGGACAGUGUCUGGUGGGUAGUUUGACUGGGGCGGUCUCCUCCUAAAGAGUAACGGAGGAGCACGAAGGUUGGCUAAUCCUGGUCGGACAUCAGGAGGUUAGUGCAAUGGCAUAAGCCAGCUUGACUGCGAGCGUGACGGCGCGAGCAGGUGCGAAAGCAGGUCAUAGUGAUCCGGUGGUUCUGAAUGGAAGGGCCAUCGCUCAACGGAUAAAAGGUACUCCGGGGAUAACAGGCUGAUACCGCCCAAGAGUUCAUAUCGACGGCGGUGUUUGGCACCUCGAUGUCGGCUCAUCACAUCCUGGGGCUGAAGUAGGUCCCAAGGGUAUGGCUGUUCGCCAUUUAAAGUGGUACGCGAGCUGGGUUUAGAACGUCGUGAGACAGUUCGGUCCCUAUCUGCCGUGGGCGCUGGAGAACUGAGGGGGGCUGCUCCUAGUACGAGAGGACCGGAGUGGACGCAUCACUGGUGUUCGGGUUGUCAUGCCAAUGGCACUGCCCGGUAGCUAAAUGCGGAAGAGAUAAGUGCUGAAAGCAUCUAAGCACGAAACUUGCCCCGAGAUGAGUUCUCCCUGAGACUUAGAGUCUCCUGAAGGAACGUUGAAGACGACGACGUUGAUAGGCCGGGUGUGUAAGCGCAGCGAUGCGUUGAGCUAACCGGUACUAAUGAACCGUGAGGCUUAACCUU